CGUGGGUAACCUGCCUUGCACUGGGGGAUAACACUUAGAAAUAGGUGCUAAUACCGCAUAAGCGCACAGUUCCGCAUGGAACAGUGUGAAAAACUCCGGUGGUGCAAGAUGGACCCGCGUCUGAUUAGCUGGUUGGCGGGGUAACGGCCCACCAAGGCGACGAUCAGUAGCCGGCCUGAGAGGGUGAACGGCCACAUUGGGACUGAGACACGGCCCAAACUCCUACGGGAGGCAGCAGGUGGGGAAUAUUGCACAAUGGGGGAAACCCUGAUGCAGCAACGCCGCGUGAGUGAAGAAGUCAUUCGUGAUGUAAAGCUCUAUCAGCAGGGAAGAAAAUGACGGUACCUGACUAAGAAGCCCCGGCUAACUACGUG
RNAcentral lists this ribosomal RNA (374 nucleotides) under uncultured bacterium. Its description in RNAcentral is "bacterial SSU rRNA". It matches the Rfam family "Bacterial small subunit ribosomal RNA", at positions 116 to 507 of the family's 1533-position model. The record is from RNAcentral.